AAACUUUCAACAACGGAUCUCUUGGUUCCGGCAUCGAUGAAGAACGCAGCGAACUGCG
RNAcentral lists this ribosomal RNA (58 nucleotides) under Aspergillus caninus. RNAcentral describes it as "5.8S ribosomal RNA". It matches the Rfam family "5.8S ribosomal RNA", at positions 1 to 57 of the family's 154-position model. Rfam says of the family: 5.8S ribosomal RNA (5.8S rRNA) is a component of the large subunit of the eukaryotic ribosome. The record is from RNAcentral. Lineage: Eukaryota; Fungi; Ascomycota; Eurotiomycetes; Eurotiales; Aspergillaceae.